Molecule: long non-coding RNA, 362 nt
Organism: Dendroctonus ponderosae (mountain pine beetle)
Lineage: Eukaryota; Metazoa; Arthropoda; Insecta; Coleoptera; Curculionidae
Exons: 2
Source: RefSeq, a predicted model, not a curated record
UUAACUGAAUACGAUAGUAAACAUGCACUUUGAACUUUGUAAUCUUAUUGGACUUUCAUAUUUUCCUCAAAAAUUCCUACGUUGGAAAACCGUCAUCUCAGGUUUUAAAUAGAAAAAACAGUGCAAUAGUAAAAUGUUCUUGAACGUAAAGUGUGAGCGUUAAAUAGUGCUUCUGGACAAGAUGGUGGAAAUACGGCUACACAUAAUUAAGAACGAUGAAAAGGACACACAUUAGAGAAAUAUUAUGAUUUUUGGAAGAUGUGGCGAUUAGCAAUAGUAGAAAAGUACUGUUUUCAAAGCAUUAAAUGGAAUUAAAGAAAUGCAUUGGGCCCUGGUUUAACAACAGGCAAUUAGAUUGGUUA